RNAcentral lists this ribosomal RNA (235 nucleotides) under uncultured bacterium. RNAcentral describes it as "partial 16S ribosomal RNA". It matches the Rfam family "Bacterial small subunit ribosomal RNA", at positions 118 to 351 of the family's 1533-position model. The record is from RNAcentral.
UGAGCAAUCUGCCCUUCUCAUCGGAAUAAGCGUUGGAAACGACGUCUAAUGCCGAAUACGACCUCCUUUCGCAUGAUCGGAGGUGGAAAGCUCCGGCGGAGAAGGAUGAGCUCGCGGCCUAUCAGCUAGUUGGUGUGGGUAAUGGCCCACCAAGGCGACGACGGGUAGCCGGCCUGAGAGGGUGACCGGCCACACUGGCACUGAAACNCGGGCCAGACCUCCGUACGGGGAGCAG